Molecule: long non-coding RNA, 2368 nt
Filed under: Homo sapiens (human)
Lineage: Eukaryota; Metazoa; Chordata; Mammalia; Primates; Hominidae
Description: HSALNT0293729
Source: RNAcentral
GUAGACCUGAGCCGUUCCUAUUCGGCCAUCUUGGCUCCUCAAAUCUAUAUUCAAAAGUCUCACUCAUUUUGCUGCUCAGCAGAAGGAUUGUAAAAAUGAAAAAUAAAAAAAAGGCUUUUACAUCAAAUAUUGAUAACGAUAAUAAUGAUUAACACAUGUGGAGCACUUACCAUCUCUCAAGCACUGCUCUAGAGCUUUCCAUGAAAGAAUCCCUCUAAUCUUCAGAACAAUCCUGUGAGAACUGGCUGAAGUUUACUUUUUGGUACUCCAGAGACCUAGCUUCUUCUUGCCUUCUUCCAAUGUGGUCUAUUUAAUCUCCUGUCGUGUGGGAAAUUAUGUUCAAAAUCUCCGUGAUCCUCUGUCCAUAGAGCUGCUGCCAAAUCAACACCUCGAUAUGUUUGUUCUUGGAGAGAAAUGAGCUAAGGAGGAAGACCGUCUAAAAAUACCACUGGACAAUUUGUACUCACUGGAGUGGUCUCUAUGGGGCAAAAGGUUUUUAGAGUGGCUCGUGGAUUUUCUGGCAAGUGGCAAACCAUACAAGAGCUACGUCAGGCCAGGAAGACAGGUACAGCCCUGUCGGUGUCAAAGAAGAACACCGGUAGCAGAAGAGCUAAGAGUGAAUGAAAAUGGAAUUAUCUUUACUUCUAGGACUUGUCUAUUGAGAAACAGCAGCGCUGGCAACCAUUUACUACCAACAAGAGGCAGUUGCAAGAGAAGAAUAUAAAAUAUGCUCUGCUCAACCCCACAAAACUCAGAGUGUCUCACAAUGGCCAAUUUAUUAUUUUUACCCUGUCCAGUGACAUGGAAGGAUGCAUCAGGGAGCUGCUAGCCUCUGCGAUGAAUAACUUAAGUCAGGCUGCAACAUGUGAAAUAAUUCAGCUGACCAGGAUUUAUAACACUAGCUAGAUUUUUUGCUUUCUUUGGGGUUCAUGAAGCAUGGUGUUGUGAGAUACCACAGGAGUCCCGGAGUAAAGUUACAUACCUAUUGCUCUUCCUUAUUUUUAUUUUUUGGUAUUUUCAUAUUAUUUUAUUGCCUAGUCCAAAUGUCUUCCUAAGCAGGGUCCAGCCUCCUAGGGGACACGUCUCUUCUGACUUUGAAAAUUAGAACCACAGACAGAUAAGACUUCUAAAUACUCUGUUUUUAUACCCUCUUCUUCACAUACCUAGUCCCAGGUGGUUUUGACUCCCUGAUGCUGUGUUGAUUGUGUUGGCCUUCAAUUUAUUUUGCUCAAUUAUUUAUGUGCAUCUGCCCAAAUAAGAGGUGUGGCAAUGCAGUGGCAUGCUUACAAUUCAGCCCAUCUCACUCCCUGGUUCAUAUGUCAGUUUGCAGGAUGGCUUGCUAGAUUUGCAAAGGGGUGUGGGGGACAGUUUCCAUCUGCUGCCAUUGCAAAACACAUCUUUCAGGGGCUACCUGGCAGGGCUGUUUUCUUUCCAGGUAAGGUUCAGGGACAUUUCCAUGCACUGAGUAGAGUCUGGAUCUUUGUUUUCCAGGUGCCUCAGAAGACUAGGACAUGGGGCAAUUGCAAAUCCUGGUCUUUGUACAUUACAUAGAACUUAGGGUAGGAAGGGACUUCAGAAGAUCAUCAGGUCAAAUUUCCCACUUCCUUGGAAUUCUCAUUUUUUAGAGGACCAAUGGUUGGCAACAUCCCUUUUUUGUGUUGUCAUUUGGAAAUUGUGUUAAAAGCCAUUCUUUCACAGUUGCUCUGUGGUCCUUCCAAUUUUCACUUUAACUGGGAAAUUUUAAUGAGAUCCUUCAAGCAAUUAAAAGAGUAGAAAAAAUACUCACAGAAGCAGAAUUUGGAGGGUAGCUAUGGCUUUUCUCUGUUGACAAACCCCCUUUUGACUUCUUGACAUCACUGAAUCAAGUCUUAGUGUCUUGAGAGGUUACUGCCUGAAUACAGGUUAAAUAUGUUAAUAUUCACUGAUUGGAGGAAAGUACCAUGAGCAAAUCUAAUGCAGGAUCCUGGAAUGCUGAGGGCAUUAGUGGCUCCAUAAAAUGUAAAUGCAUUCUUAAUUAUCUCAAGUCACUGCACGCCCAAGUAGCUCUUUUGUAAGAAAAACACAGCUUACUGAUAAUGAGCAUGAAAAUUACUAAGAGAUUGGUGGAGUAAAUCUCUUAAACCUCCUUUCUUUUCUUUUCUUUUUUUCUUCUCCAAAUUUUGAUGUGACUUCGCUAAUUUGAGUAUGUGUCUCUUUUUAGAUUCUACAGAUAACCUUAGGGCCCCACAAGGCAUUUUGGGUGAUUGAAAUAAUAGCAGUUUGUACCUUACGGGAACCUCUAAAGAUGAUGAUGAUUAUUAUUAUUAUCAUGACUGAUUUUAUUGAAUCUAUGAGGCUUAUGAGGUCUUAAGUUCAAGAUCAGCCUGGC